Long non-coding RNA from Meriones unguiculatus (Mongolian gerbil), 633 nucleotides. RefSeq lists it as uncharacterized. The transcript has 3 exons. NCBI's taxonomy places the organism in Eukaryota, Metazoa, Chordata, Mammalia, Rodentia, Muridae. The record is from RefSeq and is a predicted model, not a curated record.
CUCACCAACAAAACUUUUGAUCCAAAAAUUAGCCAGCAUAUAAUAAGUGCAGGGAUAAAGAGGGAACAAAGAUUGAGGGAAUGUCCAGCCAGUACCUGGUCCAACCUGAGACACCACACGAGAGAGCCAGACCCUGACACUAUUAAUGAUGCUCUGCUAUGCUUGCAGACAGGAGCCUAACUUAACUAUAGUCUGUGAAGCUCUAGCCAACAGUGGAACUAGACAGAUGCUGGGACAUGUAGCCAAGCAUGAGAUGGAGCUCCGGAGGCCCUGUUGAAGUAUUGGGGGAAAGAUGGAAGGACCUGGAGGGGCAGGAACCUCAUAAGAAGACGAAGAGAGACAACUAACCCAAUCCCAUGGGGGCUUUCAGAGACUGAGACAUCAACUAAGAAACAUGCAUGCUCUGGACCUAACCCCCUACACAUAAUGUGCUUUCCAUAUGGUUGAAGGUGUAAGUCCCAUUUUCUUACCAAGACCUUGUGUGAACUAUCCAGUGCUGUCUGCAGACUGCUCAUCCACUAUGCUGGGUGAUGUAGGAUAUAUGAAAAAAAGAAACAGGAAAUAAGAAAGCUAAAAGAACAUCAAAUCUAUAAAUGUUCCCAUUUGUCACCAUGAAGUAUUCCAUAACAAGGC